RNAcentral lists this ribosomal RNA (476 nucleotides) under uncultured bacterium. Its description in RNAcentral is "bacterial SSU rRNA". It matches the Rfam family "Bacterial small subunit ribosomal RNA", at positions 23 to 507 of the family's 1533-position model. The record is from RNAcentral.
CUCAGGAUGAACGCUAGCGGCAGGCCUAAUACAUGCAAGUACGAAGGGGCCAGUAAUGGCACCCGGGCGGACGGGUGCGUAACGCGUACACAACGUACCUUUGGGUGGGGGAUAGCAUCGGGAAACUGGUGGUAAUACCCCAUGGUAUUGGAAACUGGCAUCAGUUUUCUAAUUAAAGACUACGCCCAAAGAUCGGUGUGCGUCUGAUUAGCUAGUUGGUAGGGUAACGGCCUACCAAGGCGACGAUCAGUAGGGGAUGUGAGAGCAUGAUCCCCCACACGGGUACUGAGACACGGACCCGACUCCUACGGGAGGCAGCAGUAAGGAAUAUUGGUCAAUGGGCGCAAGCCUGAACCAGCCAUGCCGCGUGCAGGAAGAAGCAUCUAUGGUGUGUAAACUGCUUUUAUACAGGAAGAAACAACUCUACGUGUAGAGUCUUGACGGUACUGUAAGAAUAAGGACCGGCUAACUCCGUG